This 2016-nucleotide long non-coding RNA is filed under the name Zostera marina. RNAcentral's name for it is "long non-coding RNA (ZMAR_LNC003102)". Lineage: Eukaryota; Viridiplantae; Streptophyta; Magnoliopsida; Alismatales; Zosteraceae. The record is from RNAcentral.
AUGGAUAGAUGGUCGGUCGGUUGUAGUGUCAUGCGAUUUUUAUAGAAUAAUAAAUGCGUUAGAUUUUUACAGAUUCAUUUAAACAGAUUUUUACACAUUUUUACAGAGUAUUAAAGGGUAUUAAAUAGUCAGAGUAAUCCGAAUAUUAAACCUGAUAUUAACGUCGAAUCUUUACCUUGUUUUCACAGGAUUUUCACGAGAUUUGCACCGUUUUUAAGGAGAUGGGUCAGGAUUACUAACAUCUGGUUACGAUGGCACCUGCAGAACCCUAUUUGAUGGGUCUCAUGUAGUCAUGAUCAGUAUCCAUUUUCAGAUGGGAAUCCUGCAGAACAUCGAUCAGAUUGUUACGACGGCAAAUAACAAAAGAGUAAUAGAGUAAACGAUGAAGAAUAAGAUGUAGAGGCCGACUAAAAAUUUAUACCAUUGUUAUCGGAAGAAAAAGAUGUAGAUGGUGACUAAAAAUUUAAACCAAAUUAAUCGACAGUCUAACCUUGGUAAACCUACAAAAGUUAAACCACGCUCAGAUUUUUCCACCUUCUUACAUCCUCCGAAAAAGCUGCAAAAGGAGACAAGAAUGAUUUCGAUUCGACGUGCGCAGACUUGCUCUCGAUAGAUGAUUGACGUAUGCAGAGUGCGACAGUGAAAAGACUAGACCUGAAAAUAUUAUUCUAAUACAAUAAAUUUAAUUUAUAAAAGCCCGUUGUCAAAUUUACCAAUACUUUCACAUAACGUAUUUCAGACAUUGUCUUAAACUAAAUGUAACAAAUUUAUUACUAUAGAUUUGACCGUUGAUUAAUUAUGCACCCAAAUUUUUUACCAUAAUAAGAUUUUAAAAAGUCGGUGGAAUUCUAGAAAUUCGAAAUACCGAAAUCGAAUUACUGAAACGAUUUCAGGAUAAUUUUUCGAUAAUCCAAAUCUAUAUAAUUAAUGUGAAAUUAUAAAGUGAUGGGUAUUAAUGGAAGAAUAAUAUAACCGAAUAGUAUAAACCGAAUAGUAUCUACUUUCGGAUAUACUAACCGAAUUAGAUAUAUCCGAAUAAUUAUCCGGUUAUAUCCAGAUAAAAUAUUUCGGAUAUAUAUUGGGUUCUAAUUUAUUUGGAUAAAUCCCUACCGAUUUUAUUAUGGUCAAUCUUUCCCGAUCUACUCCAAAAUCCCUACCACCCGGUCUACGCAGGCGACAGGAUAACCAGACCGGCCCGCCGCGUUCUGGAUUUACCUAAAUAGUCAAAGAAGUCAUCCCUCGAUAAUCUGUAAAUUGAUAAUCAAUAGGUAUUUUUAAUCAUUAAAUAAAAUAAAGUAAUCGGAUUGCAGGCAGCCUGUAUAAUUUUCCAAAACAAUCUACAUGUAAUGAAUAUCCGUCAAAAGUUCUUGGAGAACAUCAUUAAACGAAAGAAACGGAGGAAUAAAACCUAGAAUCUCGUAGACGAAAUCUACCAUACAGCUGUGUGUUAAAAUAAACUGUUGCCUAACACCUAACGAAAAACUCGAGAACAUAAACCCAAAAUAAUCCCUUACCUCCGCUUUUAUAUUCUCCAAAGAAAAUAAGGUAUGUCUCCGGUGAUGUUGUUCUUCCACUUCGCCCAUGACGGAAUCAUUUGGAAUGGGUAAUCGGCAACAUGAUUUACAAAUCAUACAGGUUUUGAGAUAUACGAGAUUGCCUGGUGGAGUUGAUAUAUGAGACUGCCUGGUGGAGUUGAUAUACGAGACUGCUUGGUGGAGUUGAUAUACGAGACUUCAUGGUACAAGACCAACGAAGAAUUUCGAAAUUAGGGAUGAAUUGAAAAUAGGGUUAUGCAGUCUGUAUAUGAUUUUGGUUAAAAUUCAUUUCCUCAUAAAUGGGUUAUAAUUGAUUGACCGAUUAAUGCAUCUCACCCGAUUAUUUAUGUUUGAGGGUUUAUUUGUCAUUACCUAUUUGCCUCCCAAUGUCGAUACUACGAGGUAUUAAAAUCUGCAAGAACCCCUUCCAUUAUUAAUUUGCGAUAACCCAUUUCGAUUGUAAAAAGAACCCAUUCCGAUU